GACCCAGGCUCCUACGGGAGGCAGCAGUGAGGAAUAUUGGUCAAUGGGCUUACGCCUGAACCAGCCAAGUCGCGUGAGGAAAGACUGCCCUAUGGGUUGUAAACCUCUUUUGUCAGGGAGCAAUUGAGUCCACGUGUGGGCUUAGCGAGAGUACCUGAAGAAAAAGCAUCGGCUAACUCCGUGCCAGCAGCCGCGGUAAUACGGAGGAUGCGAGCGUUAUCCGGAUUUAUUGGGUUUAAAGGGUGCGUAGGCGGAAUAUCAAGUCAGCGGUAAAAAUUCGGGGCUCAACCCCGUCGUGCCGUUGAAACUGAUGUUCUUGAGUGGGCGAGAAGUAUGCGGAAUGCGCGGUGUAGCGGUGAAAUGCAUAGAUAUCGCGCAGAACUCCGAUUGCGAAGGCAGCAUGCCGGCUCCACACUGACGCUGAGGCACGAAAGCGUGGGUAUCGAACAGGAUUAGAUACCCGUGUAU
RNAcentral lists this ribosomal RNA (468 nucleotides) under uncultured bacterium. RNAcentral's name for it is "bacterial SSU rRNA". It matches the Rfam family "Bacterial small subunit ribosomal RNA", at positions 328 to 793 of the family's 1533-position model. The record is from RNAcentral.